GAACUUCUGAAACAUACCAAGUCGAACUUAGUCUAGCCUGAUGCUAGAGAUUCCUCUUGUUUUGUUUCCUUGCUUGCACGAACGUGAUCGUUAUGCCUAAAGUGUUUGUGUGUUCACGUGAUCACGAUGCCAAGUGUUUCGUUAAACGAACCAAGUCUUUUAUUCCCUACUCAUAAUGUUUAUAUCGCCUAAAUGAAUUUUCCCAUAUGCAUUUUUAAUCUUCAUCUUUUAUACGCAUAUUUCUGUAUGCAAGAGCCAAUGCUAGUACUAACGUAACCUCGUCAACUAUAGAAAAAGAAAAAGGAAAAAAAGAAAAGAAGAUGGUCGAUGCGAGAUGCGAGUCAUGUUCGAAGGAAAGAAAAAAAGAUCAUCCGCCUGAGAUUAUCCAUGGCGAUGCAUCAAGAGGAUAUCCGCGAUGGGACAAGUUCUUCAUUGUAAAAUCCAACGCCGAAGGACAAAACUUUGCGCGUGUCACGUCGGUCACGCCAAAGAAGAUUCCAAAUCGUGACACGGAUGUGGAAAGCCCCAAGAGAGAAGAGAUUUCGAAACGUUCUCCUGCGGCUACUGAUCUCUAACCAAUCAUCAGGGAGACACGUUAUUCAAAGAAGGCUAUCGAUGUUGUGGUUUGUAAAAGAGAACCAGAUAGGAGGUUAGGAUUUGGUUAAGGAAAAACGAGUUCUAUGAUUACCCUUGGCUACUCCUAACCUCAAAGAAUCUUUUAACAAAUUCGUUAUUCGUUCUUUCCCAUUAAGGUUCUCUGAAAAAAGAAAAAAGAAAAAAGAAAGAAAGAAAGAAAAAAAAUAUCACAUUAAAAAAAAUGUUCAAAGAAUACCGUCGAAAGGAUAGAAUUUCUCUUUUUCAAUCUUAAGGGAUAUUCCCACUAUCGAAAUAUUUCCCCGAAAUAUACAUUCUAUCGCAUAUAAUGUAGACGCGCGUUCGUGUUUGCACUAUGCAUCUACGUUCAAUAUAGUAUACAGAAGAGAAGGGGCGGGGAGCAAGGGUUAAUCGUAGCUUCUUGCAUGUGUCGUGACUUGUUUGGCAUGCACGGUAUGGGCACAAUAAUAUACUCGAUAAGAUAUUUCUAGAGUCGUAUCGGCAUACCUCUUAGCGCAUGCGCAUUGACGAAAGAAAGGCAGGGUCACGACAAAUUAGUCUAACGCCUUAUUUAUCUAUAGCCAAGUUCUCUCUUUUAACCUAUACUAUGAUUCUCUUUCUCCACCUUUCACGAGCGUGUGUCGCCGCCACCACCGUCUCCUCUUCCUCCUCUUCCUCCUCCUUAUAAUACGUUUCACUCGAUCGUAUCAGAAAAAUUUCGUCGAACUAUCGAUUCUUAUAGAGAAAUGAUAAGCCUUAUAUUUAUAAACGUCUGAUUCAUAAGUGGAUUGUAAACCUUGAAUGCGGUGAUAAAUAUUAAACAAUGACGUCAUCCUCUUAGCGAAGUUUGCACGAAUCACCAAUGAUUACGUUACGAUCAAAGUUCGAAUGUCUCUUGAAAGAAUAAACAGACCUACACGUAUUCCGUAAAUAAAAAGAGAGAGAAAGAGAGAGAAGGGGGAGGGGGAAGGGAUCGUACAUUCCUAACUACGGCACUGACGGUUCUCCCCUCCACCUCCACCUCAAUCUACUGCUCCUUCUCUGUCUUUCUCUCCUCCCUCCCACUCUUCCCACCAGGCCCCGAGCAUCCACCAUAACGUCGUACGCCCUCUCCCUUGUCGUCACGCUUCGACGUACCGUCACUCGACAACGAAACGCGUGGCAACGUCGCCUUCUUCGUCGUCAUUUUCUUCGACAAUACUCCGUCCGUCUAUUCGUCUGUCCGUCUGUCCGUUCGUCGGUCGUCGUCGUGUCUUCGAAAUCGUCACGGUCGUCUAACUUUUCAUGGAAAUGCAACCACCAUUACUACACUUCGGCGAGACAUUCCUCUAAUUCUCAAUUUACGAAUUAAUCAUUCCACAUGCAAAAAGAAAAAAAGAAAAAAGGAAAACUUUAAAAAAAAUUUGAGUCCAUCAAAAAUAUACUACGCAAGUCAAUAUGACAGUGAAAAAUUGGAGUAACUACCAUAGGUAUCUAAAAAAUUAUUCAUUUAUAGUGAGGAAAGUAAUUAAUAAAAGCUCUUAUUAUUACGUAUCACAAUGUGUGGUAUAACACCCACUAGGAAAAAAUAUCGCAGUAUAUACACAAAGCAGUAUAUAUACAUAUAUAUAUAUAUAUAUAACGAAAUGGUAGGGUACCGACGGUCACGAUAAAGUCGAAAGCUACAAUUUUUUCCAGGAAAUACUUUCACGAGAAAUCGAUUAGUCCGGUGUUGUCCGUGACGCAGUCCAAAAGAGAAAAACAUAUUUUUAUCGAAUUCGAUACAACUCGAUCGAUAUGUCUUUCCCCAGUUUGAUAAGGAUUAUAAUUAUCAUCAUAAUCAUAAAAAUGAUUUGAACAUUAUUAUCUCUAUCUACUUAAAGAUGUCUCAACGUUUCCAUGAAUUACAUAUACAUAUUAUGAGCUGUCCGUAUGGUCCUAUGAUAGGAAAAGGAUAAAUGUUGAUAAGGUCAUACAAUUUUUCACAAUUUAUCUUUUCAAUAACAACAAUUCGUACUUGCUUUUUAAUAUACACGAUGCACCGUCUUGCGAACGACGACGACGACGACGACGACGACGACGACGACGACGACGACACUUAGCACUUAUAUUUAAUCCAAAUUCACUGUAAUCCAGCACUGCAUCCAUUGGUCUCGUAUUGAAUAUUAUGAAUAUCCAAAGUUAAGGUAUAUCAAUAUAAUUAAAUAGAGGGGAUUAAGAAUAUAAGGAAUUAUACAUAAGGAUGGGCAAAGACCAUAUGACAAAAACAAAAAAAAAAAAAAACGAAGAGACACCUAAUACGUGUAAUGACGUUUCAAUGUCGUUUUACCUGCUUCCGGUAUAACAUGCGAUUUAAUCGAUUCCCUGCGACGUGACUCAUCAUAAAGUGGUUUUUGCACAUACAUACCGAGAGAGGGGACCGUACACAUAUAAAAGCCAUUCGAAAUGUACAAAAAUAUCGUUAUCGGGUUCUCUUGUCACAAGAACAACACGUACAGCGAUAGGAGACAUUGCUUUUAAGAUUUUACGUUCACGAUCCAUGAUUCUUAUCUAUAUUUGGUUAUAAUGAUACGUUGAUCAUUAUGAAUCAUCCAUCAUGGAUCAUUAUGGAGGAUUAAAAAUUCUGAUCCCGCAUUCAUGUUUAUUUCAAAUUGUCUGCUGAAUUAACUAAACUGAGAGAACUUAGGUAUGCCUAUAUUAAACAUACCCAUAAUAGGUAUAAGCAUAAAACGGAUCCAUAUAUAUUAUCCUAGGGCAUUGCAUAGUUUAGCAAAAGAAAAAAAUAAAUGAACAAGAUCCCGCCGUAUCUCACCCGUGCGAGGGAAAUCUAUGUUGAAGAUGCUGGGGCUCGUAGUACUGUGUCGUAAGGGCUCGUUCGUCCAAAGUGUGCUCAGUCGCGUGAGCCUUCGCUGCGGACUUGAUAUCCAUGAACGCCACCGUCGCGGAGGCGCCCCCGGUGUUAAUCGAGGAACCGCCGCCCCCGCUGCCACCGCCGCUGCCGGAACUGGAACCGGAACCACCCUCGUUGCCCUCCCCGAGGGAACCACCGGAACCUCCGUCCACAGGGCACACCUCGCCCCGCGGCAGCAGCUUGACGCUCUGCACGCGUCCAUACCUAUAAUCGGAGAAACAUAAUCCAUUUAUUUACAAUCAUUUUGAACAAAUAAAUAUUAUUUCAUGUUUUUUUUUCUUUUCCAAGACAAAACUUGUUGGUUUGUCUGAUCAAUGGACAAUAAGUCGAAAUCUUUCUCACCGUUAUUCGUUAAUUUUUCAUUCGUUACAACAAAAGCAAAUGUGGAUCUACAGUAUAUUUAUCCUAAACCUUCCCUCCCCCUCCCGUACCAAAGUCAUCCCAACAAUUGUUCAUCGUUAAAUAAUCUUUAGAAGAAGGAAUCAGUGAUUUGCAUAUUUAUCAAAAGAAAUCUCAUUAUGUCGUAGUUAAAUGAUAGCGAUUAGCAGAGCGAGAGGUUAGUAGAUGGGAGGAGGGUAGGUGGAUUGGGUUGGGUGGAGCAAUGAACAUGAAAGCAAACGUUCUUCCAACGAUAUAUACGAUCGGUUGAGUCAUCGUACGAGUUGAAGUGGCAUAUUCCAACGUAAAAGUUCAAAGGAACUCGAGAAUAAACGAGGAUGUAGGAGGAGGGGGAGGAGAGAUGGGGAAUAGGAACGGCGGAGAAUGUUUUUCUACAAAUAUGUCGCAUCAAUAUUUCAGCAUCGAACAAAAUAGAGUAGGCAACGAAAUAAAAGAAAAGAAAAGAGGAAGAAGACAGGUACAAGCAGCAGGCAGGCAAGCAAGCAAGCAAGGAAGGUAAGGCAGGCAAAGUCCGUGGAGCGUUUCCAUAGGAGUAGAGGAUGCGGAGAAGACGACAGUGCACGACGAGAUCUGGCAACGUUGGACGGGGUAUAAUACUCUGGUCGGCGAACGGCAACAGCGCAAAAGGGAUCCUCGUUGAGAGAGAUCGUUUGGGAUUUCGAAGAAGGGAGGAGACCCUGUAAUCCUCUGCCCGUAGAAACCUCUCGCGAUACCCGACACGAGAGCGGAGGAAAUUAAGUCGAAGGAAGAGAAAGACGGAUAGAGGUUAGAGGAGGUAGAGAUGGCAAAGAACGAGGAGAGAGGAGGAGGUAGUGGUAGAGGUGGAGAUAUAGAUGGGAGAGGCGAGGCGGGCAAGGUAAGGGGGGAAGAGGAAGAGAGGAGGAGAGGAGAGAGCGCACGCGCGCAAAAGCAUUUGCGCGCGGGUU
Vespa mandarinia (Asian giant hornet) is the source of this 4809-nucleotide long non-coding RNA. NCBI's taxonomy places the organism in Eukaryota, Metazoa, Arthropoda, Insecta, Hymenoptera, Vespidae. The record is from RefSeq and is a predicted model, not a curated record.